UUGGAAUUACAAUGCAAUUCGAUCCUUCUCUAAAACAAUACUCUCAAUCAUAUCACUAGGGUAUGGAUAUAUUAUGUCAAAACCCUAAUGUGAUUAUUCCUUCUUAUAUGAUUCAAUUGAGUCGUAUAGGAACGCUUUCCUUUAUUACGCUCGAUACUUCGGCUGAAGAUUCCAGAAUCAUAUCUUAGAGUAUUCAUCCUCUCUUAACGAGGAUUAGAGAUUCCUUGUUGCGCAUUUACUUGCCUUCAUGACUAAGUGGCUUAACCCCGAUUAUGCCGUGGACACCCGCGGAUGGAGUGACUUUGACAUAAUCAAAGAUCAAGUACUUAACCACAAGACAACGAUGAUGCCUCAGGUUAAAGGACUACUUACAUUAUUCCAACUAUUAGAGUUACUUGCUUGACAUGUGAGUAGACCUCCAUGCAAGUACU
This 431-nucleotide long non-coding RNA is filed under the name Malus domestica (apple). RNAcentral describes it as "long non-coding RNA (MDOM_LNC011966)". The record is from RNAcentral. Lineage: Eukaryota; Viridiplantae; Streptophyta; Magnoliopsida; Rosales; Rosaceae.